RNAcentral lists this long non-coding RNA (621 nucleotides) under Theobroma cacao (cacao). Its description in RNAcentral is "long non-coding RNA (TCAC_LNC000208)". Lineage: Eukaryota; Viridiplantae; Streptophyta; Magnoliopsida; Malvales; Malvaceae. The record is from RNAcentral.
AUCUGCACUCGAGAUAUUCAACACAUGCCACGUAGUGAUUAAUUUUACAGCUUUCAAAGACAUACCAUUGAUCUAUCUAAGUUGUUCAUUUUCCGGGGACAAAGUUAGUGGCAUAAGCCCAUGCAUUGUUGGUCGCCGGAUCAGCAAGGUGGUCGAAAAGGUUCUCAAUGGGACCCUUUCCGGUGACAAUAGCCUGGACGAAGAAUCCAAACAUGGAGAACAUUGCCAGGCGGCCAUUCUUGAUCUCCUUAACCUUCAACUCUGCGAAGGCAUCAGGAUCAUCAGCCAAUCCAAGUGGGUCAAAAGCACCACCUGGGUAAAUUGGGUCAAGUCCUUCACCGAGUGGUCCACCACCGACUCUGUAUCCUUCAACAAAUCCCAUGAGCACAACUUGGCAAGCCCAGAUUGCAAGAAUGCUCUGAGCAUGGAUAAGGUUUGGGUUGCCAAGGUAGUCAAGGCCACCCUCGGAGAAGAUUUGAGAUCCAGCCUUGAACCAAACUGCCUCUCCAAACUUGACACCGUUCCUUGAAAGAAUUUCAGGGAAGACGCAGCCAAGGGCACCAAGCAUAGCCCAUCUGCAGUGGAUCACCUCAAGCUCACGGUUCUUAGCAAAUGUCUCUG